AGGACGAACGCUGGCGGCGUGCUUAACACAUGCAAGUCGAGCGGAAAGGCCCUUCGGGGUACUCGAGCGGCGAACGGGCGAGUAACACGUGAGUAAUCUGCCCCUAGCUCUGGGAUAGCUCCGGGAAACCGGGAUUAAUACCAGAUACGACCACUUUAGACAUCUGUUGUGGUGGAAAGAAUUUUGGCUAGGGAUGAGCUCGCGGCCUAUCAGCUUGUUGGUGAGGUAACGGCUCACCAAGGCGACGACGGGUAGCCGGCCUGAGAGGGCGACCGGCCACACUGGGACUGAGACACGGCCCAGACUCCUACGGGAGGCAGCAGUGGGGAAUAUUGCGCAAUGGGCGAAAGCCUGACGCAGCGACGCCGCGUGGGGGAUGAAGGCCUUCGGGUUGUAAACCCCUUUCAGCAGGGACGAAGCGAAAGUGACGGUACCUGCAGAAGAAGCGCCGGCUAACUACGCGCCAGCAGCCGC
RNAcentral lists this ribosomal RNA (474 nucleotides) under uncultured bacterium. RNAcentral's name for it is "SSU rRNA". It matches the Rfam family "Bacterial small subunit ribosomal RNA", at positions 26 to 518 of the family's 1533-position model. The record is from RNAcentral.